CCUACGGGUGGCAGCAGUAGGGAAUAUUGCGCAAUGGGGGAAACCCUGACGCAGCAACGCCGCGUGGAGGAUGAAGGUUUUCGGGUUGUAAACUCCUUUUGUUAGAGACGAUGAUAGCGAUGUCUCACGAAUAAGCACCGGCUAACUCCGUGCCAGCAGCCGCGGUAAUACGGAGGGUGCAAGCGUUACUCGGAGUCACUGGGUGUAAAGAGCGCGUAGGCGGGAGAGCAAGUCAGAUGUGAAAUCCUAUGGCUUAACCAUAGAACUGCAUUUGAAACUGUUAUUCUUGAGUACGGGAGAGGUAGGUGGAAUUCUGGGUGUAGGGGUAAAAUGCGUAGAGAUCCAGAGGAAUACUAGUGGCGAAGGCGAACUGCUAGACAAUAACUGACGCUGAGGCGCGAAAGCGUGGGGAGCAAACAGGAUUAGAUACCCGUGUAGUC
Molecule: ribosomal RNA, 440 nt
Filed under: uncultured bacterium
Lineage: Bacteria
Description: partial 16S ribosomal RNA
Rfam family: Bacterial small subunit ribosomal RNA
Source: RNAcentral